AACGAACGCUGGCGGCAUGCCUAACACAUGCAAGUCGAACGAGACCUUCGGGUCUAGUGGCGCACGGGUGCGUAACGCGUGGGAACCUGCCCUUAGGUUCGGAAUAACUCCCCGAAAGGGGUGCUAAUACCGGAUAAUGUCUUCGGACCAAAGAUUUAUCGCCUUUGGAUGGGCCCGCGUUGGAUUAGCUAGUUGGUAGGGUAAAAGCCUACCAAGGCGACGACCCAUAGCUGGUCUGAGAGGAUGAUCAGCCACACUGGGACUGAGACACGGCCCAGACUCCUACGGGAGGCAGCAGUGGGGAAUAUUGGACAAGGGGCGAAAGCCUGAUCCAGCAAUGCCGCGUGAGUGAUGAAGGCCUUAGGGUUGUAAAGCUCUUUUACCCGGGAUGAUAAUGACAGUACCGGGAGAAUAAGCUCCGGCUAACUCCGUG
Molecule: ribosomal RNA, 433 nt
Filed under: uncultured bacterium
Lineage: Bacteria
Description: partial 16S ribosomal RNA
Rfam family: Bacterial small subunit ribosomal RNA
Source: RNAcentral